This 350-nucleotide ribosomal RNA is filed under the name uncultured eukaryote. RNAcentral describes it as "SSU rRNA". It matches the Rfam family "Eukaryotic small subunit ribosomal RNA", at positions 567 to 961 of the family's 1831-position model. The record is from RNAcentral.
CCAGUGCGGUAAUUCCAGCUCCAAUAGCGUAUAUUAAAGUUGUUGCAGUUAAAACGCUCGUAGUCUGAUGUAAUGGGGACUGGUGUGGGGAGCAGCAAUGCUCCUUGUAUUCGGUCUCCAUCAGUGGGACAGCAAUGUCCCGGUUUACUUUGAGGAAAUUAGAGUGUUCAAAGCAGGCGAUUGCUUGAAUACUGCAGCAUGGAAUAAUGGAAUAGGACUCGCGUCUUAUUUUGUUGGUUUGGAGAUGUGAGUAAUGAUGAAUAGGGACAGUUGGGGGCAUUGGUAUUCAGUAGUCAGAGGUGAAAUUCUUGGAUUUACUGAAGACUAACUAGUGCGAAAGCAUUUGCCAA